RNAcentral lists this long non-coding RNA (1924 nucleotides) under Homo sapiens (human). RNAcentral's name for it is "HSALNT0184816". Lineage: Eukaryota; Metazoa; Chordata; Mammalia; Primates; Hominidae. The record is from RNAcentral.
GCCGACUUUUCUUUCACUUUCACUUAGAGCAAGAUGGCAGCCCGCGUCCCUGUGUGAAGCCGUCUGCAGCAGCUGCCAGAGCCCUGCUUGCUGUUUCCUUUCUCACCACCCACCUCACCCGGAAAUCCCCUGUCUCGAAAAGGCACUCUGUCACGUGUACACAGGAAAGGGCCCUGACAAGAGGAUGGGACUGCAGUUGUGGCUGCCAGAGUCUUGCUUUGUCGCCCAGGUUGGAGUGCAGUGGCACGAUCUCGGCUCAGUGCAACCUCCGCCUCCUGAGUUCAAGUGAUUCUCCUGCCUCAGCCUCCCUAGUAGCUGGGAUUACAGGACAAGGAGAGGGACAAAUUCCUUCUUGGCAUCCUUAUGGCCCUGUGACCUGCUAAUGAAUGCUGACUCUGAGUUGCUACUAGAAUUUGGUUUCCUUGUGGCUUCCCAGGAAUUGUGAGCCAUGUUGGAUAAGGACCUGCAAGGGAAGAAUGAGGAAGCCUGGGACAGUGCAGGAGGGGAGAGCACUGGUGGUAGAGAGGAGUGAUGACAAGGGUCUCCGCCAAAAGGGAAAUGGAGGGGUUAAAGAAGCUGCUGGGGAGGGUUAAAAACAAUGUGUUCUCACUCGUAGGUGGGAAUUGAACAAUGAGAACACUUGGACACAGGAAGGGGAACAUCACACACUGGGGCCUGUCGUGGGGUGUGGGGAGGGAGGAGGGAUAGCAUUAGGAGAUAUACCUAAUGUAAAUGAUGAGUUAAUGGGUGCAGCACACCAACAUGGCACAUGUAUACCUAUGUAACAAACCUGCACAUUGUGUACAUGUACCCUAGAACUUAAAGUAUAAUUAAAAAACAAAACAAAACAAAACAAAAACAAUGAGGUGCUAUUGUUUUAGUGGUGAGUAUCCGGAGACCUGGGAGUUCUAUUUACCAGGUAUAACCUGGGCUCAAAAUUCCAGGCUGACUUCAGGCAUGUCCUCAUCUCAUAGAUGCCAGCACUAAGGCCCAGAGAGGUCUCACUCUGCUCACUCUGUCUCCCAAGCUGGAGUGCAGUGGUACAGUCACGGCUCACUGCAGCCUCCACUUCCUGGACUCAAGUGAUCUUCUCACUUCAGCCUUCUGAGUAGCUGGGACUACAGCCCCCUCUGCAGCUCUUCAUGGGGGUCCACUCAAGUCAGAAGCCACAUUUGGGUGUGAUUCAGAGAGCUGUUUAUGCAAAACCAGCUUUGUCACCAUCAGGCAAGGCACCUGAAUUCCCACCGCAGAGAGUGUUGUGGCCGUGAGGACUUUUCUGUCACCAGCCAUUUCCAGGUAGACCCAGUGUAAUCACAAGCAUCCUUGUAAGUGGCAAAGAGGCAGAGGAGACAGCGCCAGAGAGGCAGCUGCAUGAGAAGGAUCAAGAUGUUGCUGACUUUGAAGUUGGAAGAAGAAGGCCAUGAGCCUCAGUAUGUGGGCGGCUUCUAGAAGCUGGAAGGGGCAAGGAGAUGGAUUUGACCCUUCAGCCUCCAGGGGCAGCUGUACCUGCCAUCACUGAUUGUAGCCUGGUGAGGCCUGUUUUAGACUUCUGACCUGUAGAGCUGUAACAUAAUACAUUUGGGUUGUUUUCAACCACUAAGUUUGUGGUAAUUUGUUGUAGCAGCUGUAGAAAAUGAAUACAUAUGAAUCCUCUGGCAUUUGUUUGAGAUUUGCUCUAUGGCCUAGUAUGUGGUUGUAAAUGUUCCAUCUGUGCCUGAAAAAAUGUAUAUUUCUAAUUCAGUAGUCUCUGCUUUUUUUUUUUAUUUUGUACCCCAUCAAUAAAAUGAUUUUCAGCAUGUAUCCCCAAAUAAACAAUAUUUUAUUUAUUGAUUGAUUGAUAAACAGACAUGUUUAAUGAUAGCUUGCUUUUCACAGAGGUGACUUCGGAGACUUCUAAUCUAUAAUCCAGGAGUAUAUAACCAUG